GUAGGGUGCAAGCGUUAAUCGGGAAUUACUGGGCGUAAAGCGUGCGCAGGCGGUUUUGUAAGACAGUGGUGAAAUCCCCCGGGGCUCAACCUGGGGAACUGCCAUUGUGACUGCAAGGCUGGAGUGCGGCAGAGGGGGAUGGAAUUCCGCGUGUAGCAGUGAAAUGCGUAGAUAUGCGGAGGAACACCGAUGGCGAAGGCAAUCCCCUGGGCCUGCACUGACGCUCAUGCACGAAAGCGUGGGGAGCAAACAGGAUUAGAUACCCUGGUAGUCCACGCCCUAAACGAUGUCAACUGGUUGUUGGGAAUUUAUUUUCUCAGUAACGAAGCUAACGCGUGAAGUUGACCGCCUGGGGUGUACGGCCGCAAAGGUUA
Molecule: ribosomal RNA, 374 nt
Filed under: uncultured organism
Description: partial 16S ribosomal RNA
Rfam family: Bacterial small subunit ribosomal RNA
Source: RNAcentral